CUACGGGUGGCUGCAGUGAGGAAUAUUUCACAAUGGGGGGAACCCUGAUGCAGCAACGCCGCGUGGAGGAUGACGCAUUUCGGUGUGUAAACUCCUUUUAUAUGUCAAGAAAAUGACGGUAGCAUAUGAAUAAGCACCGGCUAACUCCGUGCCUGCAGCCGCGGUAAUACGGAGGGUGCAAGCGUUACUCGGAAUCACUGGGCGUAAAGGACGCGUAGGCGGGUUGGAAAGUCAGGUGUGAAAUCCUACAGCUUAACUGUAGAACUGCACUUGAAACUUCUAAUCUAGAGUAUGGGAGGGGGAGAUGGAAUUAGUGGUGUAGGGGUAAAAUCCGUAGAUAUCACUAGGAAUACCUAAAGCGAAGGCGAUCUCCUGGAACAUUACUGACGCUAAGGCGUGAAAGCGUGGGGAGCAAACAGGAUUAGAUACCCGCGUAGUC
Molecule: ribosomal RNA, 439 nt
Filed under: uncultured bacterium
Lineage: Bacteria
Description: partial 16S ribosomal RNA
Rfam family: Bacterial small subunit ribosomal RNA
Source: RNAcentral